This 71-nucleotide transfer RNA is filed under the name Habrobracon hebetor. Its description in RNAcentral is "tRNA-Lys". Lineage: Eukaryota; Metazoa; Arthropoda; Insecta; Hymenoptera; Braconidae. The record is from RNAcentral.
CAUUAGAUAUCUUAAAUGUAAGAAUUGAUUUUUUAAUUCAAUUAUAAUAAAUUAACAAAUAUUUCUAAUGA